GACAGAUUUCGCUGUCGCCCAAGCAAACGAAAUGACGAAGCAGCAGGCCAUCCUAGAGUUCACCAAGGAUGAUGCCUAUGUGAAGGCCAACCAACGGUUCAUACGACAGGAACUGGCAGGGACCGGCGCCCUUUUCAACGAGGUCGAAGCGGAGGUCGCCGUGAAGGUUCCAGAGCUGCAGUUGUCGCCCAUGUACCCGAUGCCGAGCACGGAAAUAAUGAACAUCUCCGACGAGGAUUAGGCUAGUUGAUCUAUGUAGUAUGUAAGAUUUUUUUUCUUUGUAUACUUUUACAUGAACAUAAGAAUUUUAAUAUGAG
This 317-nucleotide long non-coding RNA is filed under the name Hordeum vulgare. RNAcentral's name for it is "long non-coding RNA (HVUL_LNC017380)". Lineage: Eukaryota; Viridiplantae; Streptophyta; Magnoliopsida; Poales; Poaceae. The record is from RNAcentral.